This is a long non-coding RNA of Harpia harpyja (harpy eagle), 1836 nucleotides long. RefSeq lists it as uncharacterized. The record is from RefSeq and is a predicted model, not a curated record. The transcript is spliced from 3 exons. Lineage: Eukaryota; Metazoa; Chordata; Aves; Accipitriformes; Accipitridae.
UUUUGCUGCUUACUCUGUAAGAAGAUUGAAAUAGCAGCAGGAUGCGGUGCGCUGCGUUGUGGCAUAUAUUGCAAAGCUGCGAUGAUGGAAAUAGCUUCAGAGUAAAGACGUUAUUAAUGAAGACUAUAACCAGGGAAGGUACGCUAAGCUCAUGUACCUGAUCUCGCCCGGGUUGUACUUGACCAGCACAUCCAUCUACUGGUUGUAUUCAUCCAUUUUUUAAAACGCCUUCACUGUUGAUGUCAGCCUGCCUGGCAGUUUUGUGCCAUUUAAAAGAAUCAAAACAAAUUAACUCCAAAAAGUUCACGUCUGAAAUGCUGCUGCUUCCCAGCUCCCGGACUGCGAGGGAGGGGGGAGCCCUGGGCGACGGCACCCCCGGAUGGCCACAGACCCUAGCAAUCCUUAUAGAAAUAUUCCUGACGGCUUAGCUGUGGUAGGACGGAGCUCAGCUCCUGCUGCCAUCCCUGGGCGCAGAGCGCAGGAGCGGGGCUCGGGCUGGGGGGCAUGGCCCCGUGCCCGCCGUGCAGGGGGGGCCGGGAGCGUGGGAGCUCGGCAGAGCUGCUUGUCCAAGAGAAAUGCAAAUAUGGGACAAUCAGCCUCCGCGGCAGCCAAGUAAGAUGUGAUGAAACCCAAUCAGUUAAUAACACUUCAAGGCAGUGGAAGAAUUGCAGAUGAACGUGUUUUUAAAUAACUUUUUUUUUUUUUUUCCUCGCUAGAACUAUUCCUCUGCAUUUUUACUGAAAAAAACCCUCAUUUUGGUUUUUAUCUUGCACAAAGGGCUGCUAGUUUCAAAGCCCAGAGUCGAGGAGUCUUGGCAGAGCUCUACCAUUGCAUCCUCCUGCACCAUUUUGGUUCCUGAAAAGGCACCUCCGUCCUUGUGGGUGGCCCCGCUGAGCAUCCAGCUGCCGGAGGAGGGUCCCACGGGAGCACUGUGGGGACCCCCUGCCUGGGACCCUGAGGGUGGUCCCCCCAUGGGAUGCUGCACCGAGCUCCAGCCGCCCGGCGCGGGAAUAAACGCUGCAGGAGCAAAGUGGUUCGACAGAUAGAGCUGACGAGCAUGAGAAAAAGAAGGUUUUGAGACCCGGAUAGUAAUCAAGGCUAAUUUGUUGAUUUGCCAUCCGGAAUCAUUUCUUGCAUUAUUUUUUUCUCCCUACACAAUUUGCUGCCUGCCUUCGGGGAGGGUGGGGGGGGAAGCACGCGCCCUCCAUCCUCUGCCGAGCCUCUGAGCAAGCUCCUUCUGCCUGAUUAAGGGCUGUCAGGAUGAUUGAUGUGUUCUUGCCGGAGAAGGGUUGGUCUGUGGGUCCAUCGCUGCCACUGGACGGGGGUCCUCCACACUGGGAGAGCGCUGGAGCGGCAAGGUCAGCCCUGCACUUGGCCUUCAGAGAGCAGAGCCAAGGUAAGCCCUUCCAGCGUCCCCGCGGCCGAGCCCUGGGGCAAGGUGAGCAUUUAACACGGCUCUGCAUCCCAGUCCCUCUCUCUCUGAAGAACAUAAACCUCUGGCUUCAAAGAUGCUGAGCCUUCCUGAGAUGCACCGAACCGUUUCCAUUUCAGGUUGAGGGGUGAUGAAGCGGAGGGCAGGUCAGGCUGUGGGCCAGCCUCUGCUGCGGCUGGGGCAGCAGUCUUGCAAAUAAACAUUUAAGUGUCCCGGUGGUAUAUUUAAGUUCUGGGUGGAAAAGGGUGUCAGUGGAGCCAUAAAAGCAUGUGUCAGAGGGAAAGAAAUGUGCGACUGGAGGUAGUUUUAAUAACAAAUACAUGGUUUUUUCCAACUGUUGAAUGCUCAGCAUUCCCUGCCUGGGAGAUUUCUGAGUGUUUCAGCAAGACAGUAGCGCGCUUGGA